AUUUAAAGAAAGCGUAAUAGCUCACUGGUCGAGUCGGCCUGCGCGGAAGAUGUAACGGGGCUAAACCAUGCACCGAAGCUGCGGCAGCGACACUGUGUGUUGUUGGGUAGGGGAGCGUUCUGUAAGCCUGUGAAGGUGUGUCGUGAGGCAUGCUGGAGGUAUCAGAAGUGCGAAUGCUGACAUAAGUAACGAUAAAGCGGGUGAAAAGCCCGCUCGCCGGAAGACCAAGGGUUCCUGUCCAACGUUAAUCGGGGCAGGGUGAGUCGACCCCUAAGGCGAGGCCGAAAGGCGUAGUCGAUGGGAAACGGGUUAAUAUUCCCGUACUUGGUGUUACUGCGAAGGGGGGACGGAGAAGGCUAUGUUGGCCGGGCGACGGUUGUCCCGGUUUAAGCGUGUAGGUGUGUGUUCCAGGUAAAUCCGGUUCACUUUAACACUGAGGCGUGACGACGAGGCACUACGGUGCUGAAGCAACAAAUGCCCUGCUUCCAGGAAAAGCCUCUAAGCAUCAGGUAACAUCAAAUCGUACCCCAAACCGACACAGGUGGUCAGGUAGAGAAUACCAAGGCGCUUGAGAGAACUCGGGUGAAGGAACUAGGCAAAAUGGUGCCGUAACUUCGGGAGAAGGCACGCUGACACGUAGGUGAAGUGAUUUACUCAUGGAGCUGAAGUCAGUCGAAGAUACCAGCUGGCUGCAACUGUUUAUUAAAAACACAGCACUGUGCAAACACGAAAGUGGACGUAUACGGUGUGACGCCUGCCCGGUGCCGGAAGGUUAAUUGAUGGGGUCAGCGCAAGCGAAGCUCCUGAUCGAAGCCCCGGUAAACGGCGGCCGUAACUAUAACGGUCCUAAGGUAGCGAAAUUCCUUGUCGGGUAAGUUCCGACCUGCACGAAUGGCGUAAUGAUGGCCAGGCUGUCUCCACCCGAGACUCAGUGAAAUUGAACUCGCUGUGAAGAUGCAGUGUACCCGCGGCAAGACGGAAAGACCCCGUGAACCUUUACUAUAGCUUGACACUGAACAUUGAGCCUUGAUGUGUAGGAUAGGUGGGAGGCUUUGAAGUGUGGACGCCAGUCUGCAUGGAGCCGACCUUGAAAUACCACCCUUUAAUGUUUGAUGUUCUAACGUGGACCCGUUACCCGGGUUGCGGACAGUGUCUGGUGGGUAGUUUGACUGGGGCGGUCUCCUCCUAAAGAGUAACGGAGGAGCACGAAGGUUGGCUAAUCCUGGUCGGACAUCAGGAGGUUAGUGCAAUGGCAUAAGCCAGCUUGACUGCGAGCGUGACGGCGCGAGCAGGUGCGAAAGCAGGUCAUAGUGAUCCGGUGGUUCUGAAUGGAAGGGCCAUCGCUCAACGGAUAAAAGGUACUCCGGGGAUAACAGGCUGAUACCGCCCAAGAGUUCAUAUCGACG
RNAcentral lists this ribosomal RNA (1406 nucleotides) under Salmonella enterica. RNAcentral describes it as "partial 23S ribosomal RNA". It matches the Rfam family "Bacterial large subunit ribosomal RNA", at positions 1121 to 2510 of the family's 2925-position model. Lineage: Bacteria; Pseudomonadati; Pseudomonadota; Gammaproteobacteria; Enterobacterales; Enterobacteriaceae. The record is from RNAcentral.